Non-coding RNA from Elaeis guineensis (African oil palm), 469 nucleotides. The record is from RefSeq and is a predicted model, not a curated record. NCBI's taxonomy places the organism in Eukaryota, Viridiplantae, Streptophyta, Magnoliopsida, Arecales, Arecaceae.
CCCCCGCGAUAAAGGCUCUCCGGAACCCUAAGCUCCCCAUCCCCUCUCUCGAUCUCCAUCUCUCAGCCUUCUUCCAUGGCCUCCUCCGCCCAUCCUCUCCCUCCCACGGACAGGGCUUCUCCGGAACCACCGGAGAAAAAGCAGAAAUUGAUGAGUGAAGGAUCAGACGAGGAAAACCGGAAGUCGGUGAGCGACGGAUCGGGGGAAGAAAGGACGGACUCCACUGGUGGUGACAUGGCCGAGGAAUAUUAUUGCAAUAACUAGCUCUUUGACUGUGAUGGGGAACCGGAAGAGGAUUCGGAUGGUGAUUUAAUGGUAUGUACCCUUGGAGCACAUUUACGGGGCAAGUUCGAUUUGGAAGGACCCAGAGCACAGGACUGGAGAAAAUGUGCCGAUUUCUCAAAGUUGGCCCUAAAGAAGUACAAUAACGAUAAUGGAACAAAUUAUGAGCUUGUGGAGGUGGUCAAGG